AGGGAUAUAGCUCAGUGGCACAGCGCCUGCCUGGCAAGCAUAAGUUCAAAUCAUUAGUUUAAAUCCAGAUAUUCCUC
Molecule: transfer RNA, 77 nt
Filed under: Cavia porcellus (domestic guinea pig)
Lineage: Eukaryota; Metazoa; Chordata; Mammalia; Rodentia; Caviidae
Rfam family: tRNA
About the family: Transfer RNA (tRNA) molecules are approximately 80 nucleotides in length.
Source: Rfam by way of RNAcentral